This 1745-nucleotide long non-coding RNA is filed under the name Pan troglodytes (chimpanzee). RNAcentral describes it as "long non-coding RNA NONPTRT016470". The record is from RNAcentral. Lineage: Eukaryota; Metazoa; Chordata; Mammalia; Primates; Hominidae.
CCGUGAGGGAGGCUGUGUGAGGGAGGCUGUGUGAAGGAGGCUGUGUGAGGGAGGCUGUGUGGGAGGCUGUGUGAAGGAGGCUGUGUGGGAGGCUGUGUGAAGGAGGCAUGUGAGAGAGGCUGUGUACCAGAGGCCCAUGAGGGAGGCCAUGUGGGAGACUUUGUGAGGAAGGCCCGUGAGGAAGGCUGUGUGAGGGAGGCUGUGUGAGGGAGGCAUGUGAGGGGGGCGUGUAAGGGAAGCUGUGUAUUGCAGGCCCAUGAGGGAGGCUGUGUGGGAGACUGUAUGAGUGAGGCUGUGUGAGGGAGGCUCACCAACAAGCACACCUCUGAAGGAUUCUGCCUGUGGGGCAGGCAGGAGGCCAUGUCCUUGUGAUGGCCGCAGUCACCACGUUCAUGGCAGUGCUAUUCACAAUGGCCACAUGUCUGUCAGCAGAGGAACACACAGGCAAAUGGUGGCUCUCCACACCAUCCUUCUCAGACAUCAAUAACAGAAUAUUUUAUGAAUGUAAUGGCCUGGUGGACACCCCAGAGGGACUUCAGAGCCAUAAUGAGCUCUUGGAUUAAAAUGACCAGCAAAAAUGAACUUCAGAUGAAAUACUUGUCGUAGUUGAGUAAAUUAACAAAAUUUAAUUAACUUUCAAUACACAAUGACACUGAACAAUAUCAAAAAUAUACACUAAGAUGAUGAGAAAGAUAAAAGCCUCUGUGCAUAUUUGAAAUGGCCACAACCUCUCUGACCCACACCUCAUCCACCCGCACGUGCUCCGUCCCCACCUCUGGAGUAUGGGCAGGGCCUGUGACUGCUGGGCCGACAAGAGGAGACAGAAGUGAUGGCCCAGGUCUGGGCCCAGGCAUUAGCAUGACAGCAGCAUCCACCUCCUUCUCACAAAAUCCUUGCUCUAAGGGAGGCCAGACACCAUGUGAGGCCCUUGGCCACCCAGAGACCACCAUGUGAGGAGAAGCCCCUGCCAGCCAAGUGGACAGGCUGUCUGGAGGGAGCGAAGUCCCUGGCCAGCCCCAACUCUUCCAGUCACCCCACCCUAGAGGACAGAGAGGCAACUGACAAAGCUUCUAAGACGUUCCAACACCCAAAGCUGCAACUCAAGAGGAACCAAGAGCCAACAGGCAUGAGCGAGGCUCCACAAGUGACCCCAGUGAAGCCACCCCUGACCCAUCCGGCUACUUGAGCCGCCCCAGCAACCACAGGGCAGACACCAACCAGCCCUGCUGCACCCGCCUGGAUGCCUGGAUGCCUGGCUCACAGCACUGUGAGCAUGAUAGGGUUGUCGUUUGAUGCCACUGGUGUUGGGGUUAUGACACAACAAGAGAAAACCAGAACAGAUUAAAUCUGGGCUACAGAGUUUCUACAUAGAGGGGCUGAGCGGCAGCCAUCCAUUUGCAAGAGGAGACUAAGGCAAUGAGUUAGGAUUCGGAUGGGCGUGGUAGGCCCACUGUUUUUCGGAUGUGCAUGGUAGAUCCGCUGUUUUGUCUACAUGGCAGGCAUUCACCGUCCUUGUGCAGGGAUGACGGUGGCCAGUGGAGAUCAAGGGAGGUGUCAAAUCUCCCCAACAUAAAUGUUCUUUGAGAAGACAGAUGGUUGGUAAAUGCAAAGCUAAUUGCUCAUCAGGUUCCUGGCUUUUUAUGUAUGAUGUUCCCUUUGUUUCUGUUUCUCUGCUUGUUUUCCUGUUUGCUUUUGGCUCGUUACUGAAAAACAGAUUGCUAAGUAAUAAGCAGAAGAACAUAAAU